CGCAAGGCGUAGGCGAUGGAUAACAGGUUGAGAUUCCUGUACUAGUUGAUGAUGUUUGAGCGAUGGAGGGACGCAGGAGGCUAAGUUGUGCAUCCAGUUGGAAAGGGAUGUUCAAGCCACGAGUCAGUCAAAGAGUCAAAUGCUUUUUGGCGGGUUGACAAGUGGUGAUGAGGACCGAAAUUUAAGUAGGGAAGCAACCGACGUCACACUGCCGAGAAAAGCUUCUAGUGAGUCAUCAACUACCCGUACCGCAAACCGACACAGGUAGUCGAGGAGAGAAUCCUCAGGUGAGCGAGUGAACUCUCGUUAAGGAACUCGGCAAAAUGACCCCGUAACUUCGGGAGAAGGGGUGCUGUGCGCAAGCACAGCCGCAGUGAAAAGGCCCAGGCGACUGUUUAUCAAAAACACAGGUUUCUGCAAAAUCGUAAGAUGACGUAUAGGGGCUGACGCCUGCCCGGUGCUGGAAGGUUAAGUGGAUGAGUUAGCUUCGGCGAAGCCCAGAAAUGAAGCCCCAGUAAACGGCGGCCGUAACUAUAACGGUCCUAAGGUAGCGAAAUUCCUUGUCGGGUAAGUUCCGACCCGCACGAAAGGCGUAACGAUCUGGGCACUGUCUCAACGAGAGACUCGGUGAAAUUAAGAUACCUGUGAAGAAGCAGGUUACCCGCGACAGGACGGAAAGACCCCAUGGAGCUUUACUGUAGCUUGAUAUUGGGUGUUGACACAGCUUGUACAGGAUAGGUAGGAGCCAUUGAAGCCGGAACGCUAGUUUCGGCAGAGGCGUUGGUGGGAUACUACCCUCGCUGUGUGAACACUCUAACCCGCGCCACUCAGCGUGGCGGGAGACAGUGUCAGGUAGGCAGUUUGACUGGGGCGGUCGCCUCCCAAACAGUAACGGAGGCGCCCAAAGGUUCCCUCAGAAUGGUUGGAAAUCAUUCAACGAGUGUAAAGGCAGAAGGGAGCUUGACUGCGAGACAGACAGGUCGAGCAGGGACGAAAGUCGGGCUUAGUGAUCCGGUGGUACCGUAUGGAAGGGCCAUCGCUCAACGGAUAAAAGCUACCCUGGGGAUAACAGGCUUAUCUCCCCCAAGAGUCCACAUCGACGGGGAGGUUUGGCACCUCGAUGUCGGCUCAUCGCAUCCUGGGGCUGUAGUCGGUCCCAAGGGUUGGGCUGUUCGCCCAUUAAAGCGGUACGCGAGCUGGGUUCAGAACGUCGUGAGACAGUUCGGUCCCUAUCCGUCGCGGGCGUAGGAAAUUUGAGAGGAGCUGUCCUUAGUACGAGAGGACCGGGAUGGACAUACCGCUGGUGUACCAGUUGCGCCGCCAGGCGCACCGCUGGGUAGCUACGUAUGGAUGAGAUAAACGCUGAAAGCAUCUAAGUGUGAAACUUACCUCAAGAUGAGAUUUCCCAUUCCUAUAUGGAAGUAAGACCCCUGAGAGAUGAUCAGGUAGAUAGGUUGGAAGUGGAAGUGCAGUGAUGUACGGAGCGGACCAAUACUAAUCGGUCGAGGACUUAACCAAG
RNAcentral lists this ribosomal RNA (1519 nucleotides) under Lentilactobacillus buchneri. Its description in RNAcentral is "Lactobacillus buchneri partial 23S ribosomal RNA". It matches the Rfam family "Bacterial large subunit ribosomal RNA", at positions 1403 to 2925 of the family's 2925-position model. The record is from RNAcentral. Lineage: Bacteria; Bacillati; Bacillota; Bacilli; Lactobacillales; Lactobacillaceae.